UUUAGCUGAUAGAAAAAAGAGAUUUUAUUUUUGUUAAGAAUAUUUACUGAUGUGUUGUCGUGAACACAUCGUCAAUUUAUUUUUAUAUCAAUCGGUUAAACGACGUGCCCAUUUUAGAUGUAGAUUUAUGACGAAUGAAGUUUGUUCUGAUGGGAAUCUCUUUUCACGAUUGGUUAAUUCAGAUCGGAAGCUAACUAACAUUUGAGGUACAUCAUCGCCAUCGUGUAUUGACCAUAGUUUGCCUUAUUGUUCGAUUAAUCAAUAAAUGUAAAUUUUAGACCUGUGCUCCUCUGCUGAGUCCCUCGUAAAACCACUGGUCAACGCCAUUGCCAAAUUGUUACAUUACCCGAUACGAAAAACAUUUUUGUUCUACGACGUGUACCUAUGAGCCCAAAGAACGACCCAAAAAUACUGUAAGCCAUACGCGCCAUUGUUUCGACAGGGCACGAGUUUACUUUUAGGCAAUCAGAGUACCUCGUACAAAGAAAAUUUGUAAUUAUUUGACAUCUCGUUGGGAGCAUCCAUCCCAUCUGACCGUAGAAGUCGACGUACUUGCCAUACAUGUUUAUUAUCCGUGAAGCGUUGAUGUAAUCAAAAGUUUGUUUAGCUCUCAGCCGAGAAGAUAUCCGAUCAUAUUAUUUCACUUGCAAUACAGUUCACAGUGUGAAGUGGUAAAUUGUAAGGAAAUAAAGUAGAUCAACAGAUCAAAACCAAGAAAAAAAUGGUUCUAACCGCCGUGAGUUUGAAAAUUACAUUUAAAAUUUGGGCAUGCGAUUAAUCUGAUUAUCGAUCUUUGUGUGAUGCAUUUAGACAGUGAAUAUAUUUACCUUUUAUUGUGCCAUCGAACACAUCCAGUGUCAAUUACAAACGACAAUAAAACAAUUGUUAAAAACUA
Molecule: long non-coding RNA, 895 nt
Organism: Bradysia coprophila
Lineage: Eukaryota; Metazoa; Arthropoda; Insecta; Diptera; Sciaridae
Source: RefSeq, a predicted model, not a curated record